CGAACGCUGGCGGCGUGCCUAACACAUGCAAGUCGAACGAAGCAUUUGGAGCUGAUCUCUUCGGAGUGACGCGCCUUAUGACUUAGUGGCGGACGGGUGAGUAACACGUGAGCAACCUGCCUCUCAGAGUGGAAUAACAGUUGGAAACGGCUGCUAAUACCGCAUAACGUCAUUUUGCCGCAUGACAGAGUGACCAAAGAUUUAUCGCUGAGAGAUGGGCUCGCGUCCGAUUAGGUAGAUGGUGGGGUAACGGCCUACCAUGCCGACGAUCGGUAGCCGGACUGAGAGGUUGAUCGGCCACAUUGGGACUGAGACACGGCCCAGACUCCUACGGGAGGCAGCAGUGGGGGAUAUUGCACAAUGGGCGCAAGCCUGAUGCAGCAACGCCGCGUGCGGGAAGACGGCCUUCGGGUUGUAAACCGCUGUCCUUGGGGAAGAAACAAAUGACGGUACCCAAGAAGGAAGCCACGGCUAACUACGUG
This 482-nucleotide ribosomal RNA is filed under the name uncultured bacterium. Its description in RNAcentral is "bacterial SSU rRNA". It matches the Rfam family "Bacterial small subunit ribosomal RNA", at positions 30 to 507 of the family's 1533-position model. The record is from RNAcentral.